UGGCAUAGAGGGUAAAGCGUCUGCCUGCAAUGCAGGAGACCCGGGUUUGAUCCCUGG
Molecule: non-coding RNA, 57 nt
Organism: Bos taurus (domestic cattle)
Lineage: Eukaryota; Metazoa; Chordata; Mammalia; Artiodactyla; Bovidae
Source: Rfam